RNAcentral lists this ribosomal RNA (365 nucleotides) under uncultured eukaryote. RNAcentral describes it as "partial 18S ribosomal RNA". It matches the Rfam family "Eukaryotic small subunit ribosomal RNA", at positions 592 to 975 of the family's 1831-position model. The record is from RNAcentral.
CAAUAGCGUAUAUUAACGUUGUUGCAGUUAAAAAGCUCGUAGUUGGAUUUCUGGAGGGAGCGUCGGCCCGUAUUUACGAGUGCGUGACGUCUCUGUCCAUCCUUGCGGGAAGUCACGGCAUUGAUUUGUUGUGUCGGAUCGCAUCAUUUACUGUGAAAAAAUUAGAGUGUUCAAAGCAGGCUUUCGCUUGAAUACAUUAGCAUGGAAUAAUAAGAUAGGACUUUGGUGCUAUUUUGUUGGUUGAGCCUAAAGUAAUGAUUAAUAGGGAUAGUUGGGGGCACCUGUAUUGCGUUGUCAGAGGUGAAAUUCUUGGAUUUACGCAAGACAAACAGCUGCGAAAGCGUCUGCCAAGGAUGUUUNCAUUA